GUGCUUGCUUUGGCAGCAUAUAUACUAAAAAUUGGAAUGACACAGAGAUUAGCAUGGCCCCUGCUCAAGGAUGACAUGUACAUUCAUGAAGUGUUCCAUUUUUUU
This 105-nucleotide small nuclear RNA is filed under the name Chinchilla lanigera (long-tailed chinchilla). The record is from RNAcentral. Lineage: Eukaryota; Metazoa; Chordata; Mammalia; Rodentia; Chinchillidae.